AGAGUUUGAUCCUGGCUCAGAUUGAACGCUGGCGGCAGGCUUAACACAUGCAAGUCGAGCGGAUGAAGGUAGCUUGCUACCGGAUUCAGCGGCGGACGGGUGAGUAAUGCUUAGGAAUCUGCCUAUUAGUGGGGGACAACGUUCCGAAAGGAGCGCUAAUACCGCAUACGUCCUACGGGAGAAAGCAGGGGACCUUUGGGCCUUGCGCUAAUAGAUGAGCCUAAGUCGGAUUAGCUAGUUGGUAGGGUAAAGGCCUACCAAGGCGACGAUCUGUAGCGGGUCUGAGAGGAUGAUCCGCCACACUGGGACUGAGACACGGCCCAGACUCCUACGGGAGGCAGCAGUGGGGAAUAUUGGACAAUGGGGGGAACCCUGAUCCAGCCAUGCCGCGUGUGUGAAGAAGGCCUUUUGGUUGUAAAGCACUUUAAGCGAGGAGGAGGCUACCUAGAUUAAUACUUUAGGAUAGUGGACGUUACUCGCAGAAUAAGCACCGGCUAACUCUGUGCCAGCAGCCGCGGUAAUACAGAGGGUGCGAGCGUUAAUCGGAUUUACUGGGCGUAAAGCGUGCGUAGGCGGCCAAUUAAGUCAAAUGUGAAAUCCCCGAGCUUAACUUGGGAAUUGCAUUCGAUACUGGUUGGCUAGAGUAUGGGAGAGGAUGGUAGAAUUCCAGGUGUAGCGGUGAAAUGCGUAGAGAUCUGGAGGAAUACCGAUGGCGAAGGCAGCCAUCUGGCCUAAUACUGACGCUGAGGUACGAAAGCAUGGGGAGCAAACC
This 772-nucleotide ribosomal RNA is filed under the name Acinetobacter sp. Ch-02. Its description in RNAcentral is "bacterial SSU rRNA". It matches the Rfam family "Bacterial small subunit ribosomal RNA", at positions 8 to 774 of the family's 1533-position model. Lineage: Bacteria; Pseudomonadati; Pseudomonadota; Gammaproteobacteria; Moraxellales; Moraxellaceae. The record is from RNAcentral.